This 1480-nucleotide long non-coding RNA is filed under the name Sarcophilus harrisii (Tasmanian devil). Its description in RNAcentral is "lncRNA (ENSSHAG00000023085.1)". The record is from RNAcentral. Lineage: Eukaryota; Metazoa; Chordata; Mammalia; Dasyuromorphia; Dasyuridae.
GCAUAGUUCCAAACUACUCUCCAAAAUGGUUGGAUUCGUUCACAACUCCACCAACAAUGAAUCAAUGUCCCAGUUUUCCCACAUCCCCUCAACAAUCAUCAUUAUUUUUCCUGUCAUUUUAGCCAAUCUGACAGGUGUGUGUAGGUAUCUUAGAGUUGUCUUAAUUUGCAUUUCUCUGAUUAAUAAUGACUUGGAGCAUCUUUUCAUAUGACUAGAAAUAGUUUCAAUUUCUUCAUCUGAGAAUUGUCUGUUCAUAUCCUUUGACCAUUUUCAAUUGGAGAAUGGCUUGAUUUUUUAUAAAUUAGAGUUAAUUCUCUAUAUAUUUUGGAAAUGAGGCCUUUAUCAGAACCUUUGACUGUAAAAAUAUUUUCCCAGUUUAUUGCUUCCCUUUUAAUCUUGUCUGCAUUAGAUUUGUUUGUACAAAAACUUUUCAGUUUGGUAUAAUCAAAAUUUUCUAUUUUGUGGUCAGUAAUGAUCUCUAGUUCUGCUUUGGUCAUAAAGACCUUCCCCUUCCACAGGUCUGAGAUGUAAACUAUCCUAUGUUCCUCUAAUUUAUUAAUGAUUUCAUUCUUUAUGCCUAGGUCAUGAACCCAUUUUGACCUUAUCUUGGUGUAGCGCUUAAGUAUGGAUCAAUGCCUAGUUUCUCCAUAUUAGUUUCCAAUUUUCCCAGCAAUUUUUAUCAAACAGUAAGUUCUUAUCCCAAAAGCUGGGAUCUUUGGGUUUGUCAAAGACUAGGUUGCUAUAUUUGUUGACUGUUUUAUCCUUUGAACCUACUCUAUUCCACUGAUCAACUAAUCUAUUCCUUAGCCAAUACCAAAUAGUUUUGGUAACUGCUGCUCUAUAAUAUAAUUUUAGAUCUGGUACAGCUAAGCCACCAUCAUUUGAUUUUUUUUUCAUUAAUUCCUUGAAAUUCUUGACCUUUUGUUUUUCCAUAUGAACUUUGUUGUUAUUUUUUCUAGGUCAUUAAAAUAGUUUUUUGGGAGUCUGAUUGGUAUAGCGCUAAAUAAAUAGAUUAGUUUAGGUAAAAUUGUCAUCUUUAUUAUAUUUGCUCGCCCUAUCCAAGAGCAUUUAAUAUUUUUCCAAUUGGUUAGAUCAGACUUAAUUUGUGUGAAAAGUGGUCUGUAAUUUUGCUCAUAAAGUUUCUGAUUUUCCUUGGCAGAUAGAUUCCUAAAUAUUUUAUAUUAUCAGUAGUUACUUUAAAUGGAAUUUCUCUUUGUAACUCUGACUGUUGGAUUUUGUUAGUGAUAUAUAAGAAUGCUGAUGACUUAUGUGGGUUUAUUUUAUAACCAGCAACUUUGCUAAAGUUGUGGAUUAUUUCUAAUAACUUUUAGCAGAAUCUCUGGGGUUCUCUAAGUAUACCAUCAUGUCAUCGGCAAAGAGUGAUAAUUUGGCUUCCUCAUUGCCUAUUCUUAUUCCUUUAAUCUCUUUCUCAGCUCUUAUUGCUAUAGCUAGCGUUUCUAAUACAAUAUUAAAUAGUAAC